GACCCCCAGGUUGUGGCAUGUUGGCAUAACCCUAGAUAGUAACAUGCUGUUCUGUUUGUCAUUCCAGGACAACAUGGACAGGAAGUGAAGCCAGCUCUGAGAAUAAUCUAAAGGCACCCGUGACAGUUUGUAACAUCAGAACUCCAGGACACUCCAGUGGUGACAUCCUGUGGAGCCAUAGAUUAAAGUAAGUACCUCACAGAAACAUCAGUAGACACCAGCAUUUGGUUAAGAAACGCGACUCGUGCACCAG
This 253-nucleotide long non-coding RNA is filed under the name Oreochromis niloticus (Nile tilapia). Its description in RNAcentral is "lncRNA (ENSONIG00000029321.1)". Lineage: Eukaryota; Metazoa; Chordata; Actinopteri; Cichliformes; Cichlidae. The record is from RNAcentral.